CACAAACUUGACCUCUCACCUCCCACAAUAAACUGUUCUUUCUUCAUUUUACCCUCUGUGGCAUCACGCCUCAGGCAGGUGACUUCCAUGUGCUCUCCAGCUGCUAUACUGCUCUCAUGCAGGCCUUGAAAAUCUCAGCUGCUGUUUGUAUUCUUUCCCAGUUUUCCUCUGAGAAACAAAUGACAGUAGUUUCUGGAGGUUUGAGGGCAACAUCUUCCUGUGAUUGUUUGAUUUAUAUGAUCUUUGCUUCAAGUGGGGAACAGGAUUUAGGAUAGUGGUCCCAACUGGAGGUCACAGCCAGUAUUGGGAAUGCAAACUCCAAGGAGAUGGAGUUGCGGAAGAGAAGCCCACACACGUAAAGCACCUGUGGGAGUUGCGUGGGUUUCUGCCUGAGAACUUUGGGAAAUGAUAAUUCAGGAGGAAGGUUUGAUUUAUUUCGCUGUAUCUAAAAGCUUCAGAGGUGAAAGCGCAUUCAAAGAAAUGGGUGAAUGUAAAAGGACCUUGUUUCUUUGGUGUUGCAAAUUUGUGUGUUUGUCUUCCACAUUGGCUCGUUUUUUUAAUAACAGGGAGGUUAAUUGCUACUAGAAGUAAAAUGAGAAGAACACACAGUGCCUAUAGCAAACGGGAGCUUAUUAUCCCCGAUGCAGCUGAGUGUACAGACGUUUGGUAGCUGUCUAAUGGAACAUAUGUUGCAUUCUAAUCGGGUGAUGACUAGUUGCUCUCUGUCUGAAAUCAUUUUAAACAAAACCACUUUGUUACACUAGUCCCUGUGUGCUACUUCUUUCCCUUUUUUCAAUAAUUUUAACUUUUGUAACUGCUGGUUGCCAUCCUGGGUUGUGAGCAUGGUGGGUUCAUUCUUGAGGACCAGAUCAAGGACUCUGCAUGUGAAAACACUACAUUCUUCUGUGGUUUUUCAGCAACCUUGUUGGCUGGUUCUCAGCUUCUCCUUCAAUGAAGCACGGCUUCAUGCGUUUGUCUGCCUGUUACUGCUCACUACCUGUGUCUCUAGAGAUGGACUUUCUGAACUUCUUCCCAGGUUUAAUGUAACCCCCGUCUAUGCUAAGAUUCCAUUUUUAUGAUUUUUUUCCACAUUGUUUCUUCAUGUCUUCAGUCAUAUACCAUAACUACUUGUAUUUUGCAUCUUUGUCAGGUUUUUGAGUUUAUUUCAAGAAGAUGACAACACAGGUGGUAGCUGCUGUGUCUCUGAAUUCUGGGGGGUCUCUCAAGUUCUGUAUGUUUGAAAAUAAUGCAUAAUCUUUCACCCAACAGAAGAUGUUAUAAUUGUUUUGAGUACAAGAAUGAAAGUUCUUCACAGAAACAGGAGCCACAAUUCCUACCCCAAAUGUUGUGAUCUUUAGUUAUUCAUAAACUCUACCAUAUCUAUUUCCUUGCCCUAUUGUGUUCUUACAGUACUGAUGCUGUUAGCCAGAGAACUGUUGUGUAAUACUGAGAAAACUUCUGUUGGAACAAAAAAUAGUGAUUGUGAUCUUCAGCAGUGCCUGGGAAAUCAUUGAAAUCAGAUUAAAAUGAUCAUAAAAUA
Long non-coding RNA from Pezoporus occidentalis (night parrot), 1540 nucleotides. RefSeq lists it as uncharacterized. The record is from RefSeq and is a predicted model, not a curated record. The transcript has 2 exons. NCBI's taxonomy places the organism in Eukaryota, Metazoa, Chordata, Aves, Psittaciformes, Psittacidae.